AAAAGAAAAAAACAACCGCACACUGAAUAUGCGUAAAGACUGCGGGAGUGCGGAUUUUAAUAACGAUUUAACCAAAUCCAAUGUUAAGGAUAUUUUAAAUUAAUUCUACAGCGUCUGGUUAUUUUCAUUGUUAUAUGACCACUUUACUGGCGUAAAAACCGUCGGACGGGCUUUUACAAAUAUUAUUAAUCUGCAUAGUGCAUAGUUAUGUUGCAUAUUCGCUAUAUGGCACGGCUUAUGUAACGUACUCUAGUAUAUAAGCGGGAUGUCUGUACAUUUGCUAAACUGAUCAGUUUAUCCACUAAUAAGUUUGCUUUAGUACACAAUGCAGUAUAUGUGGCAACGCUACACUAAUGUACCUGCUGUAUUUGAAAGAAUGUUCAAUUUUUUAAACAUUCUUAUACUCGGGAAAUAUAAUGUGCGUGAAUAUCUGCAUAUUACACACAACAUCGGGUGGUCCAUAUUUGUUUGAAUCCACCGCAACUUUCUGCGUCGAGGGGCGAGGUUCACGUCCAGGUUUAUUCCGGACGUUUCGUGGGUUUUCUUCUCAAUUGUGAAUGAUUCGAAAAAUGCUCCGCUUCGUUUUCGCGUUCUCCUAAGCUUGAGUAACAACAGAGUAAAAUUACGACUGCCUAAACAAUUCCGGGUGAACAAGUCUGACUAGAUAGUAAACAUGCGCUUAAACGCAACCACGUAAAACCAUAGAGUCCUAAAAAUUGUAUCGAGCUUAUUCAUAAACAUACCAUUUUACACAAGUUUAAAAAAACUACUAAUUGAACUGCAAUAUAUUGAAUGAAAAACAAUUUCGCAUUAGUCUACAGUAGUGGACAAAAAUGUGCAAAUAGGUCACUGACUAUUGGGAAAACAAAUAUUUUCACCAUGGCCGUCCUCAUCUUAUUAAUUACGUAUUUAACAAUAUACAAUAAAAGCAAUCACAACGUGUGUGUAAUAUCAUUGAAAAUAAAGCAAGCCAUUCUUAUAUUAAUGUUUUCUUCAAAGGUUAUUUCCGAGCGUUUUCAUUGCUAACGUCCAGCAGCGCAAAAUGGGGGCCUUUGUAACGUUCCGUGAUGUAGCUUACCCUGCGCGUAAAAAUUAGAGCGUAGCGUUAAAAUAAAUCGUCCCUUUCAAAAAUAUUUGAGGCAUAACACAUAAAGCCAGAGAAAACACAUAUUCCUCAACACCGGAAGGUCUCGGUUAAAGCUGAAAUGAAAAUACGAUUUAGAAGGGAAAAUAUAAGGGUCCAUGGUCAAUUUUAAAGAUCUAGGUAAAGUAUAGGCAUAGUAUCGAGGCAUGAAAAAUAAACAUUCUGAGGUUUCAGUCAGUUUUAUAGUUUUCUCUGGAUCUUUACAUACACAUUGAAAGACAAUUUUUAUGACGUAUAAAUUAUACAUUUAGGUCUAAGGUACUACAAGCAUCGUAUUCUUAACUGGUUAUUUGCGCAUCAAGUUUUUAUUCUACACAAAACGGUAUACCGUACUCCUUUCUGAUUUCUGAUUGCGGUUUUUUUAGAAUUUUACCUAUUCUCUCCUUACAGUAACCUUUUGUGUGUGUGUGUGUGUGUGUGUGUGUGCGCGCGCGCCCGUGUGUGUGAGAGCGUGCGUGCGUGUAUUGCGGUCGAUUUAGGCCAAAUAAUUAAAAACUACUCAGUAUAAGCGUGCAGGCUAGUAAUACACAGGUGUUAUAAAUAAAAUAGUUAAACAAGUAUUCAGGCAAUGGAAUCCUUACAUUAACUGUCGUGAUGCAUUUACGUCUUUCAGGACUGUAAGUUAGUAUAGCAAAACAAUUUAAUUGAACACAUACAAGUGCUGGCGCAAUUGCAUGAUGUUGCUAAAUAUACUUUUAAUCUUCUCGAGAACACCUCAGUAUUAUUCUGGCGGGCCAUGUCUCAUUAACAUGCUUCACAUUUGAAUAAUUGUAACAAAGAGCCAAGUCUAAGCCUUCGUGGCGACACGCUCCGCCUCUGAGUCAAUUCAGACAAAUUCUACCACUUGUGUUGGGGCUUUUAAGCCAUAAUUGAAUGCAGGAUGCCCACGAAAGCCAAAACCAGUCAGAGACUGACCUGCGGUUUUAUACCGCUUCUGGUAGUCAACUGGGGUUUUUUUUUUCACUGUAGACAUGACAAAACUGACCAACCGUGAUCGACAUACGCCACCUACGUGGAAAUCCACGAUCUCUGAUGAAAUUAGGAGCCAAAACUAACCGUCGUCAGUGACACAAAGCCGGUUUAUGAAAGGACUCGGGGAGAAUUGAAGGCUGAGACACCGCGCCAAAGAAAUCUUCACAAGUGAAAUCAGUGGCUACAACUACUACAAAUUGAAAUGAUCUGAAAUGGUCUGAAAAAUUCCAGGAAAAUGAGUCGGAAACUCCUGGAUCUUGUGGGCCCACCGAACGUAGAGCCCCGAACAGUACCCGAAUCUGUCAAAGAAGCAUUAUAUAUAAUAAGGUUGUUAUGUUUUAGGCAGCAAAUGCAACUCAAAUAUUUGCACUUGUUAUAAUAAUGAUUAUCAUUAUUAGCAUAGCUAUUUUAUAUCUCAAUAAUAGGUAUCAUACGCAAAAUACAAAACUUUGUAGAUAGUCCCACUGUUUAGAAAUAUACAUUUCCCGUGGCUUUCAGUAUAUGUUAUUUCCCGUUGUGUAAUAUGUUUAGUUUAGAUCACAAUAUAAACGUAGAAAUAUUUGACCCUUAAAUCAAUUGAAUAAGUGCCAAAAUUUAUCUUUGCCCACUUUCUGUUAAAGUGUUUGCUUAGAAAUUACAUGUGUAACAAUUGCCCACCGCCGAAGGGUAUUGAGCGAUGCCCAAACUCUGAUUAUUUUACUGAAAAUUUAAAUAUUAUGAGCCUCGGGUAAAGUCGUUAUUGCCGUUAUUGUGUAAGCUGUACGCAAUUAUUCUUGUUUUCGUUCUGAAACUCUUUGGAAUAUCACUGUUGUCUUCGAAUCGAAUGUACUAUAUUCUUGGCUUUCUGCGCCACCAAUAUUUACGUGUAAUAUCUUUUCAGGUAUUAGAAAUUAACGUUAUUGGUAAAUAUCGGUACAAUCACAUAAGCAUUAAUAUGUCGGACAGAAUGUAUUGUGCAGAAUUUCGCAGAACUGGACCGGUUAUAUAGAUAAAUUUGCGCAAUUGUAAAUAAGAGUGUUUUUAUUGUCUAUGCUAUGCGAAUACGGGAUUUACAGAUUUAAUAUAACAAAUAAAAUUAUUAUUAUUAGUAGUAGUAGUAUUAGUAUUAUGGGUUUUGAUAAUUGAUGUUUUUUUCGAUGGGUACAUUUUUCAUUCUAACAAAAAUGUCGACCUCUAAAGGCAGUAAACAAAGUUUGCAUGCUUAAUGAAAAUGCCAUAGCUAAAAUUAUUAAAAUAUUGUCAACUCAGAUUAUUCAUCACCAGAAGUAAAGAAGUGUGGUUUUAAAACGGCGAUUGUAAUUAAGCAUCGUCUUCCGCUCGCGUAUAUGUCUGAAGGUAAAAAAAAAAAAAAAAAAACGGCGCGCGG
Paramormyrops kingsleyae is the source of this 3482-nucleotide long non-coding RNA. RefSeq lists it as uncharacterized. The record is from RefSeq and is a predicted model, not a curated record. Lineage: Eukaryota; Metazoa; Chordata; Actinopteri; Osteoglossiformes; Mormyridae.